This 399-nucleotide ribosomal RNA is filed under the name uncultured bacterium. Its description in RNAcentral is "bacterial SSU rRNA". It matches the Rfam family "Bacterial small subunit ribosomal RNA", at positions 356 to 773 of the family's 1533-position model. The record is from RNAcentral.
GGGGAAUAUUGCACAAUGGGCGAAAGCCUGAUGCAGCAACGCCGCGUGAGCGAGGAAGGCCUUUGGGUCGUAAAGCUCUGUCGAGAAGGAAGAUAAUGACGGUACUUCUCGAGGAAGCCCCGGCUAACUACGUGCCAGCAGCCGCGGUAAUACGUAGGGGGCGAGCGUUAUCCGGAAUUAUUGGGCGUAAAGAGUGCGUAGGUGGUUGUUUAAGCGUGUGGUGAAAGGCAAUAGCUCAACUAUUGUAAGCCUCGCGAACUGGACGACUUGAGUGCAGGAGAGGAAAGCGGAAUUCCUAGUGUAGCGGUGAAAUGCGUAGAUAUUAGGAGGAACACCAGUGGCGAAGGCGGCUUUCUGGACUGUAACUGACACUGAGGCACGAAAGCGUGGGGAGCAAAC